ACUGCAGGCUGCGCUAUCGUCUCUAUUGCCAUAGGGAAGGAAAGUCCGGACAGCACAGGGCGGCGCACCACCUAACGGGUGGGUGUCUCUACACAGGUAGAGACAACAGACAGUGCCACAGAAAAUAACUGCCCGCUACCUGGCUAUAGUUUUGGAGACUCGUCUCCGCUACAGCUACGGCGAGCGAUGUUGAAAAUGUAAGGUAAGAGCUUACGGUUUCUGACGGUAACGGCAGAAACGGGUAAACCUUGCGCGCUGAAAUGCCAAAUAAAUGCUGCUUUUUUGUAUUUGCCGGAAGGCAUUUAUAAAAAGAUAAACGGCCCGUUUAUAAUACUGUAAAAACAGGAUAGCGGCAUGGGUAGGCAGAUACAGGUGGCAUGCGAAUGUCACCGCAGAUAAAUGAUAGCUAAGCCCAACGUAGUGGAAGGUGGGGUGACCCUCCUUCUCCGCCUGCGGCGGAUACGGCGGGUGAGACAGAAUCCGGCUUACAGGCCUGCAGUUUUU
RNAcentral lists this RNase P RNA (504 nucleotides) under Chitinophagaceae bacterium. RNAcentral's name for it is "RNase P RNA component class A". It matches the Rfam family "Bacterial RNase P class A". Rfam says of the family: Ribonuclease P (RNase P) is a ubiquitous endoribonuclease, found in archaea, bacteria and eukarya as well as chloroplasts and mitochondria. Its best characterised activity is the generation of mature 5'-ends of tRNAs by cleaving the 5'-leader elements of precursor-tRNAs. The record is from RNAcentral. Lineage: Bacteria; Pseudomonadati; Bacteroidota; Chitinophagia; Chitinophagales; Chitinophagaceae.